CAGUCGCCGCGGUAAUACGUAGGUGGCAAGCGUUGUCCGGAAUUAUUGGGCGUAAAGGGCUCGCAGGCGGUUUCUUAAGUCUGAUGUGAAAGCCCCCGGCUCAACCGGGGAGGGUCAUUGGAAACUGGGAAACUUGAGUGCAGAAGAGGAGAGUGGAAUUCCACGUGUAGCGGUGAAAUGCGUAGAGAUGUGGAGGAACACCAGUGGCGAAGGCGACUCCCUGGUCUGUAACUGACGCUGAGGAGCGAAAGCGUGGGGAGCGAACAGGAUUAGAUACCCCGGUAGUCCCUGUCUCUUAUAC
RNAcentral lists this ribosomal RNA (301 nucleotides) under uncultured bacterium. RNAcentral's name for it is "partial 16S ribosomal RNA". It matches the Rfam family "Bacterial small subunit ribosomal RNA", at positions 509 to 807 of the family's 1533-position model. The record is from RNAcentral.